UACUUUCUUUUAUGUUUCCUCCCACAAAUCUUCUCCCGCCGUCGCUGGAAAUGAAGAAAUGCUGGAAGUCUCCAUGCUCCUGGGUAGUAGUAAUUCAAGGUAAUUUAUUAAACUAUUUCCAAUCCUCAAUUUAAUUAACAACCAAUUGUUUAAUUCAGAUGAAUAUUUUUAUGGAUUUUCAAUUUCAAGGAAGAUCUCUCUGUAUGCUGCACUUUGGGAAGUGUCAAUCAGUUUUGACUGCUUCUGGGUUGCUGUGUUCUAUGCAAGAUGCUUCUAUUUCUUCUACGGGUUUUAUGAAUUUUUUGUUUAUGUUUGGAAACUUGGAGUGGAUUGCCUUAAUUGUUUUCGAUCACACACCUAUCUUUCUUGGAGGUAAACGCAUAUAUGUACAUGCAGAUUUUUUUCUUGCUUCUUGCUAAUUAAGCUAAUUUCUAGUCGGUGGGUCUAGGGCGGAGAUCGAGGCAUAUUUUCGAUGAAGUGUGGCGGAAGUCUGCGGCAUAUUUCGAGGCUUAAUCGACUACGUUUUUGUAUGAAUUAUUUUUUUAUCUUCUUGUUAGGGAUUGGUUGAAUAGUGUGGUGUGGCGGCGAUGUGGUGACGAUGGAGAGACAAAUCUAGGGUUUUUUGGUGGAUCGGGCGGAUGACGGUUCGGGUAGAUAAAUUCGCGCAUGCUGGAACCUUAAUCGACUACGUACAUGUUCCAUAGUCGAUUAAGCUAAUCGACUAUGCUCUGAUAGUCGAUUAAGGUUAA
This 749-nucleotide long non-coding RNA is filed under the name Erythranthe guttata (spotted monkey flower). Its description in RNAcentral is "long non-coding RNA (EGUT_LNC001468)". Lineage: Eukaryota; Viridiplantae; Streptophyta; Magnoliopsida; Lamiales; Phrymaceae. The record is from RNAcentral.